GAUGAACGCUAGCUACAGGCUUAACACAUGCAAGUCGAGGGGAAACGAUAGAGAAAGCUUGCUUUUUCUAGGCGUCGACCGGCGCACGGGUGAGUAACGCGUAUCCAACCUGCCCAUCACUUGGGGAUAACCUUGCGAAAGUAAGACUAAUACCCAAUGACGUCUCUAGAAGACAUCUGAAAGAGAUUAAAGAUUUAUCGGUGAUGGAUGGGGAUGCGUCUGAUUAGCUGGUUGGUGAGGUAACGGCCCACCAAGGCGACGAUCAGUAGCCGGCCUGAGAGGGUGAACGGCCACAUUGGGACUGAGACACGGCCCAAACUCCUACGGGAGGCAGCAGUGGGGAAUAUUGCACAAUGGGGGAAACCCUGAUGCAGCAACGCCGCGUGAGUGAAGAAGGUCUUCGGAUUGUAAACUCCUGUUGUUGAGGAAGAUAAUGACGGUACUCAACAAGGAAGUGACGGCUAACUACGGUG
This 473-nucleotide ribosomal RNA is filed under the name uncultured bacterium. RNAcentral describes it as "bacterial SSU rRNA". It matches the Rfam family "Bacterial small subunit ribosomal RNA", at positions 28 to 507 of the family's 1533-position model. The record is from RNAcentral.